AUUCAGGUAGUUUAAGAUAAAAUGUUGAUUUGUGGUAUCAAAGAAAUAAUAUAUAUUCUGAAUU
RNAcentral lists this transfer RNA (64 nucleotides) under Parapotamon spinescens. Its description in RNAcentral is "tRNA-His". Lineage: Eukaryota; Metazoa; Arthropoda; Malacostraca; Decapoda; Potamidae. The record is from RNAcentral.